GGGCGGGUAGCUCAGCCGGCCAGAGCGCUUGCCUUACACGCGAGUGGUCGUGGGUUCGAGUCCCACCCCGCCCA
RNAcentral lists this transfer RNA (74 nucleotides) under Planctomycetota bacterium. Its description in RNAcentral is "Planctomycetes bacterium tRNA-Val". It matches the Rfam family "tRNA". From Rfam's summary of the family: Transfer RNA (tRNA) molecules are approximately 80 nucleotides in length. Their secondary structure includes four short double-helical elements and three loops (D, anti-codon, and T loops). The record is from RNAcentral. Lineage: Bacteria; Pseudomonadati; Planctomycetota.